This 663-nucleotide long non-coding RNA is filed under the name Homo sapiens (human). Its description in RNAcentral is "non-protein coding lnc-ZBED3-1:1". The record is from RNAcentral. Lineage: Eukaryota; Metazoa; Chordata; Mammalia; Primates; Hominidae.
UUUAUAGUUAGAAAAGCAAAGCCUCUUUAUUUUGACAUACGUUUCUUCCAUUACUCUCCUUGCUCCCUUAGACCUGCUUCCUGCAGUCGGCCCUCAAAUUAUCUGCAUCCUAGGCCUUGUCUUAGCCAUUGCAUUUAGGGAAAUCCAAACUAAGAAAGCAUGUAGAGAGUGGCCCUAGAAAAUAGAAGCUACCUGUAGCUACUUGUAGGUCUGAACCUACAAACCUCAGGAUAGAAUUCCGGUACGGGAUCAUUCACCCACCAAAUAGUAACAAGGACCUCAUUUCUAGUGGUAAGUGGGUUGAUGGUAACCCUUGGUGUGCUGUAGUAUUAGGAUUAAGACUCUUACCUGUGAUGGGUUAAGAUGAGGAACAGGUGGAAAGGGAAAUGUUGGUUUAUACAGUAGCUUUAGCUGGUCAUAUGUAUGUAUAUAUAAAAUCUCCACAAACAGCUAGUCUGAUAGACAAUUGGAAUAGCCUAUUAAAGUUUCAGCUAAAGUGAUAUUUGGAGGAUGAUACCCUGCAAACAUGAGAUACUGUCCUCCAGAAUAAAUUGCAUGCAGUAAAUCAAUGAUUUAUGGGUCUGUGUCCACAACAGCUAGGAUACAUGAGUCUUCAACACUGUAUAAGCUUCCUAUUACCACAAAACUUCAAUCCAUAUUGUG